Molecule: long non-coding RNA, 332 nt
Organism: Gasterosteus aculeatus aculeatus (three-spined stickleback)
Lineage: Eukaryota; Metazoa; Chordata; Actinopteri; Perciformes; Gasterosteidae
Source: Ensembl
CCCCCUUCCUACCUUAGCGGCAGGGUUCAAUUAGUGCCGGCGGCGGCAAGCACCCGCAGCCCCGCUCAGCCCGGGAGCCGGAGCCUCUAUCAGCACACACCAACAACACGCAAGGCUGAGUCCAACUAGCGAACUGACGUCAAGACCCCAUCAGAAAAAAAAAAAACACUCAAACCACCAAUGCUGAGCAAGGUCGGCCAGGGGUCAGGCACAGCUCACGGAUACGAGACGGAUAUCGAUUUGCUGGGACAGGCCAGUUGUGGUUCUUGAGAAGGCGAGCAGUGUGCUGGGGUGUCCUCUGGAUACGGUGGAGGUGGUGGUAGACAUGAUGA